Anas platyrhynchos (mallard) is the source of this 552-nucleotide non-coding RNA. Lineage: Eukaryota; Metazoa; Chordata; Aves; Anseriformes; Anatidae. The record is from RefSeq and is a predicted model, not a curated record.
GUGUUCCUGUGCAGUGAAAAGCAGCUUAAGCAUCAGCACUCAGGGAGGAUGCACGCACACAGUCCAUAACUUAUGGCCCACCAAAAUGCAACAGCAAGCAAGGCUGCAGGCACCAGCUUCUGGCAGACGCACCUGAAAGGAAGCCGACAAAUCUGCGGGAGGAAAGGGGAGGCCAUUAGAAAUGACAAGAAGCGAAAAGCUGGUGCAGAAAAGUGAGGAUGACCGCCUGCAGGCAAGCUAAGAGCAGCGAACCCCAGCAAGAGCUGUUGGACCCUGAGGAAUCGGGAUCCAGUGCAGAAUUACUCCAGUGAUCUCCAUGAUGCAGUCUAGUUCUCCAGCUAAUGUCUGAUGCUAGAGUAGAAUUGGCCAAAGCACAAUGGCUGUUCAAGAUCUUGGGGCACACAGGUCCCUGAGCUAUGACUGCUGUCAAACACAAAAGCUAAGGAAUUUUGGUGGGUCCCCAAACUGUUUAUACUAUACUGAUGAAAAUCUCCAAUGAAAUCUAGUUUCCUUUAGAUGUGCAUGCUUUUUUUUUUUGUAUAAAAAUAAUUA